Molecule: ribosomal RNA, 508 nt
Filed under: uncultured bacterium
Lineage: Bacteria
Description: bacterial SSU rRNA
Rfam family: Bacterial small subunit ribosomal RNA
Source: RNAcentral
GACGAACGCUGGCGGCGUGGAUUAGGCAUGCAAGUCGAACGGUAUCAUCCUUUCGGGGGUGAGAGAGUGGCGAACUGGUGAGUAACACGUAGGUUAUCUACCCUCAAGACGGGGACAACCCAGGGAAACUUGGGCUAAUACCGGAUGUGAGCAACUUUUAGUUGUUUGAAAGGUGGCGUAAGCUGUCGCUUGGGGAUGAGCCUGCGUCCUAUUAGUUAGUUGGUGAGGUAACGGCUCACCUAGGCAAUGAUAGGUAGGCGGCCUUAACGGGUGGUCGCCCACACUGGGAUUGAGAUACGGCCCAGACUCCUACGGGAGGCAGCAGUCGAGAAUAGUCUACAAUGGUACGGAAGACUGAUAGUGCGACGCCGGUGAACGAUGAAUCCCUUCGGGUGUAAAGUUCUUUUAUAUGUGAGCAGUGCUUCUUAUAUUAACAGUAUGGGGAGAGAGAUAUUAGCAUAUGAAUAAGCAACGGCUAACUCCGUGCCAGCAGCCGCGGUAAACUCGU